Molecule: ribosomal RNA, 637 nt
Filed under: uncultured Russulaceae
Lineage: Eukaryota; Fungi; Basidiomycota; Agaricomycetes; Russulales; Russulaceae
Description: eukaryotic LSU rRNA
Rfam family: Eukaryotic large subunit ribosomal RNA
Source: RNAcentral
AAAGAAACUAACAAGGAUUCCCCUAGUAACUGCGAGUGAAGCGGGAAAAGCUCAAAUUUAAAAUCUUGGUGGUCUUUGGCCAAUCCGAGUUGUAAUUUAGAGAAGCGUCUUCCGCGCUGGACCGUGCACAAGUCUCCUGGAAUGGAGCGUCAUAGAGGGUGAGAAUCCCGUCUUUGGCACGGACACGCCAGGGCUUUUGUGAUGCGCUCUCGAAGAGUCGAGUUGUUUGGGAAUGCAGCUCAAAAUGGGUGGUGAACUCCAUCUAAAGCUAAAUAUUGGCGAGAGACCGAUAGCGAACAAGUACCGUGAGGGAAAGAUGAAAAGCACUUUGGAAAGAGAGUGAAACAGUACGUGAAAUUGUUGAAAGGGAAACGCUUGAAGUCAGUCGCGUCGACCGAGACUCAGCCUCGCCUUGGCUUGGUGUAAUUCUCGGCUGACGGGUCAGCAUCAAUUUUGCCUCUUGGAUAAUGGCGAGGGGAAUGUGACACCUUUACGGUGUGUUAUAGUCUCUCGUCGCAUGCAAGGGUUGGGAUUGAGGAACUCAGCACGCGCCUUUGGGUGUCGGGGUUAUGCCCACGAUACGUGCUUAGGAUGUUGGCGUAAUGGCUUUAAACGACCCGUCUUGAAACACGGACCA